Molecule: ribosomal RNA, 252 nt
Filed under: uncultured bacterium
Lineage: Bacteria
Description: partial 16S ribosomal RNA
Rfam family: Bacterial small subunit ribosomal RNA
Source: RNAcentral
GAUGGGGGGGGGCAAGUGUUCUUCGGAAUGACUGGGCGUAAAGGGCACGUAGGCGGUGAAUCGGGUUGAAAGUGAAAGUCGCCAAAAAAGUGGCGGAAUGCUCUCGAAACCAAUUCACUUGAGUGAGACAGAGGAGAGUGGAAUUUCGUGUGUAGGGGUGAAAUCCGUAGAUCUAUGAAGGAACGCCAAAAGCGAAGGCAGCUCUCUGGGUCCCUACCGACGUUGGGUGCGAAAGCAAGGGGAGCGAACAGG